This 465-nucleotide ribosomal RNA is filed under the name Vreelandella stevensii. Its description in RNAcentral is "partial 16S ribosomal RNA". It matches the Rfam family "Bacterial small subunit ribosomal RNA", at positions 338 to 795 of the family's 1533-position model. Lineage: Bacteria; Pseudomonadati; Pseudomonadota; Gammaproteobacteria; Oceanospirillales; Halomonadaceae. The record is from RNAcentral.
CCUACGGGUGGCUGCAGUGGGGAAUAUUGGACAAUGGGGGGAACCCUGAUCCAGCCAUGCCGCGUGUGUGAAGAAGGCCCUCGGGUUGUAAAGCACUUUCAGUGAGGAAGAACGCCUGGUGGUUAAUACCCAUCAGGAAAGACAUCACUCACAGAAGAAGCACCGGCUAACUCCGUGCCAGCAGCCGCGGUAAUACGGAGGGUGCGGGCGUUAAUCGGAAUUACUGGGCGUAAAGCGCGCGUAGGUGGCUUGAUAAGCCGGUUGUGAAAGCCCCGGGCUCAACCUGGGAACGGCAUCCGGAACUGUCAAGCUAGAGUGCAGGAGAGGAAGGUAGAAUUCCCGGUGUAGCGGUGAAAUGCGUAGAGAUCGGGAGGAAUACCAGUGGCGAAGGCGGCCUUCUGGACUGACACUGACACUGAGGUGCGAAAGCGUGGGUAGCAAACAGGAUUAGAUACCCUAGUAGUC